UAGGGAAUCUUCCGCAAUGGACGAAAGUCUGACGGAGCAACGCCGCGUGAGUGAAGAAGGAUUUCGGUUCGUAAAACUCUGUUGUUAGGGAAGAAAAAAUGUAUAGUAACUAUAUACAAAAGAGACGGUACCUAACCAGAAAGCCACGGCUAACUACGUGCCAGCAGCCGCGGUAAUACGUAGGUGGCAAGCGUUGUCCGGAAUUAUUGGGCGUAAAGCGCGCGCAGGUGGUUUAGAAAGUCUGAUGUGAAAGCCCACGGCUCAACCGUGGAGGGUCAUUGGAAACUAAUAAACUUGAGUGCAGGAGAAAAAGUGGAAUUCCUAGUGUAGCGGUGAAAUGCGUAGAGAUUAGGAGGAACACCGGUGGCGAAAGCGGCUUUUUGGCCUGCAACUGACACUGAGGCGCGAAAGCGUGGGGAGCAAACAGG
This 428-nucleotide ribosomal RNA is filed under the name Verrucomicrobiota bacterium. RNAcentral describes it as "Verrucomicrobia bacterium partial 16S ribosomal RNA". It matches the Rfam family "Bacterial small subunit ribosomal RNA", at positions 355 to 776 of the family's 1533-position model. The record is from RNAcentral. Lineage: Bacteria; Pseudomonadati; Verrucomicrobiota.